Small nucleolar RNA from Otolemur garnettii (small-eared galago), 148 nucleotides. Lineage: Eukaryota; Metazoa; Chordata; Mammalia; Primates; Galagidae. The record is from Ensembl.
UGUGCAUGUUUUUAGAGCUUGGGGUUGAGGCUCUGGCCCAUGAGCUCAGUAGUGUAUGUGGUAUGCUACCAGAUGGUGAGUUUUUUGCUUAGUACCAUAGGAUCUCUGGCCUAAUGAGUGAAGUUAGAUAGUAAUCCUUGCUACAAUU